AGUGAACGCUGGCGGUAGGCCUAACACAUGCAAGUCGAACGGCAGCACAGUGAGAGCUUGCUCUUACGGGUGGCGAGUGGCGGACGGGUGAGGAAUACAUCGGAAUCUACUUUUUCGUGGGGGAUAACGUAGGGAAACUUACGCUAAUACCGCAUACGACCUACGGGUGAAAGCAGGGGAUCUUCGGACCUUGCGCGAUUGAAUGAGCCGAUGUCGGAUUAGCUAGUUGGCGGGGAAAAGGCCCACCAAGGCGACGAUCCGUAGCUGGUCUGAGAGGAUGACCGCCAACACUGAACUUGAGCACCGCCCAACCCCCCUCGGGGGGCCCCGGGGGGGAAUUUUGGGCAAGGGGGCGAAACCCUGUCCCACCCGACCCGGUGGGGUAAAAAGGCCUUCGGGUUUGUAAGGCCUUUUGUUGGGAAAGAAAAGCAGCAGGUUAAUACCCCGCUGUUCUGACGGUACCCAAAGAAUAAGCACCGGCUAACUUCGUG
This 491-nucleotide ribosomal RNA is filed under the name uncultured bacterium. RNAcentral's name for it is "partial 16S ribosomal RNA". It matches the Rfam family "Bacterial small subunit ribosomal RNA", at positions 29 to 507 of the family's 1533-position model. The record is from RNAcentral.